This 497-nucleotide ribosomal RNA is filed under the name uncultured bacterium. Its description in RNAcentral is "partial 16S ribosomal RNA". It matches the Rfam family "Bacterial small subunit ribosomal RNA", at positions 28 to 507 of the family's 1533-position model. The record is from RNAcentral.
GAUGAACGCUGGCGGCGUGCCUAAUACAUGCAAGUCGAGCGAACAGACGAGGAGCUUGCUCCUCUGACGUUAGCGGCGGACGGGUGAGUAACACGUGGAUAACCUACCUAUAAGACUGGGAUAAUUUCGGGAAACCGGAGCUAAUACCGGAUAAUAUAUUGAACCGCAUGGUUCAAUAGUGAAAGACGGUUUUGCUGUCACUUAUAGAUGGAUCCGCGCCGCAUUAGCUGGUUGGUAAGGUAACGGCUUACCAAGGCAACGAUGCGUAGCCGACCUGAGAGGGUGAUCGGCCACACUGGAGCUGAGACACGGUCCAGACUCCUACGGGAGGCAGCAGUAGGGAAUCUUCCGCAAUGGGCGAAAGCUUGACGGAGCAACGCCGCGUGAGUGAUGAAGGUCUUCGGAUCGUAAAACUCUGUUAUUAGGGAAGAACAAAUGUGUAAGUAACUAUGCACGUCUUGACGGUACCUAAUCAGAAAGCCACGGCUAACUACGUG